CAGUCGCCGCGGGAAUACAGAGGUCUCAAGCGUUGUUCGGAUUCAUUGGGCGUAAAGGGUGCGUAGGUGGCUUGGUAAGUUGAAGGUGAAAUCUCGGGGCUUAACUCCGAAACUGCCUUCAAUACUGCUGAGCUCGAGGAUUGUAGAGGAGAAUGGAAUUCACGGUGUAGCAGUGAGAUGCGUAGAUAUCGUGAGGAAGACCAGUGGCGAAGGCGAUUCUCUGGGCAAUUCCUGACACUGAGGCACGAAGGCCAGGGGAGCAAACGGGAUUAGAUACCCGCGUAGUCCCUGUCUCUUAUAC
This 301-nucleotide ribosomal RNA is filed under the name uncultured bacterium. RNAcentral's name for it is "partial 16S ribosomal RNA". It matches the Rfam family "Bacterial small subunit ribosomal RNA", at positions 509 to 807 of the family's 1533-position model. The record is from RNAcentral.